GACGAACGCUGGCGGCGUGCCUAAUACAUGCAAGUUGAGCGCUGAAGGUUGGUACUUGUACCAACUGGAUGAGCAGCGAACGGGUGAGUAACGCGUGGGGAAUCUGCCUUUGAGCGGGGGACAACAUUUGGAAACGAAUGCUAAUACCGCAUAAAAACUUUAAACACAAGUUUUAAGUUUGAAAGAUGCAAUUGCAUCACUCAAAGAUGAUCCCGCGUUGUAUUAGCUAGUUGGUGAGGUAAAGGCUCACCAAGGCGAUGAUACAUAGCCGACCUGAGAGGGUGAUCGGCCACAUUGGGACCGAGACACGGCCCAAACUCCUACGGGAGGCAGCAGUAGGGAAUCUUCGGCAAUGGACGAAAGUCUGACCGAGCAACGCCGCGUGAGUGAAGAAGGUUUUCGGAUCGUAAAACUCUGUUGGUAGAGAAGAACGUUGGUGAGAGUGGAAAGC
Molecule: ribosomal RNA, 451 nt
Filed under: Lactococcus lactis
Lineage: Bacteria; Bacillati; Bacillota; Bacilli; Lactobacillales; Streptococcaceae
Description: bacterial SSU rRNA
Rfam family: Bacterial small subunit ribosomal RNA
Source: RNAcentral